UGAAUGCUCCUGGCGUGUCUCUGGGGACUAGACAUUAGAGCAGAAGUCAGCCCUCCGUGGCCUCCUCUGACGGUGCGGUUUCUCCUUUGAGGAUGGAGUUCUCUCACAGACCCUUUGGGAAGUGGGGCUGAUGUGGAAAGUGAGAUUUCUGGGUGUUUGUGCAGCCAACCAUGGAACACCAUCCCCCAUACUUGCUCCUUUGAGCAACCAUCAUGGCACCAGAUCUGGAGUAUUUCCAGAAAACUCAUUGGAUUGCUUCUAUUACACACCUCCCCCAUCGCUGCACCCUGGGAGGUUACUUGGAAGCUGAUCUCAGAGGACAAAAAUUCGGACUCCAGAAGGCUAUACUAUUACCUGAGUAACCAGGAAGUACAUUGUAAGCAACUUUCAAAACUCUGGAAUUGACAGAGACAUCUCACCGCCUGGACAGUCACCCAAAGUUCUUAUACUGUUGGGGCAUCCAUCUUCAGCCCACAGGUACGUAGCAUCCAGCAGACUUUUCAAUGAAGUGAGACAUUUGAAAGACUGUUCGCCUAUAUCAUCAGUUUGCCAGUCACUUUCUUCUGUGUCCUGCAGAAUGUCUGGCAGUUUCUUCUGUGAGGUAUGAACCCUGCAGCACCGUCCUGCCUUGUUUUGACAAAGUUGUGACACCAGAUGUUUGUGAUCCCCAGUACUGGGGAGACAGAGGCAGAAACCUGGUGAGACCACCUAAGGACUACCUAGAUACACCUGUCUCAAAACCGAAACAAAACCAGACAAAGGUCAAAGUCAACUGGUGAUGCCGUCUGUGUGGACUUCAUCCUGACAGAGAUGAAAGGACACUUUCCUCAACCUCAGAGAGUGACAGAAACCUCAGCCAUUUUAUCAGUCCUAAUGUGGAAAGUGCUCAAAGAGGAACCUGUGUCCUGGAACUCAGCCGAGAGUAGAAUCCUUUCUCCCAGCAGUGGAACCAGUGGGCAUCCCGGGUCAUCAACAGCGUGUCUAGGAGAGUUAGGGUGCUCCUCACCGUAGAACCGUGGGCCGUGGCUUUGCUCUCCAACAGUGUCAUGGGAAAGCAACAGUUUGAAACUUUAGAGCUAACUUCAGAAGUAGAGGAGCAACCGAACAUUCACAGUAUUGUGGUCUUGAGGAAUGUCUGGUGGUAGUUUUCCAAAUUAUUCUCUGUAUGUACAGUUAGUGUAACCACCUAUUACCUUGUUAUUACUAGAUUCUUCUGAGAUUAAGGCCAGCAACGUCUAGUGAGUGUGUGUCCACAGGCUGUGACAGGCAAUGACAAGCAGCAAAGGGAACUGCGCUCAUGGCCAAUACAUAAAUAAAUAAAUACAUAAAUAAAUGGGAA
Arvicola amphibius (Eurasian water vole) is the source of this 1339-nucleotide long non-coding RNA. RefSeq lists it as uncharacterized. Lineage: Eukaryota; Metazoa; Chordata; Mammalia; Rodentia; Cricetidae. The transcript is spliced from 2 exons. The record is from RefSeq and is a predicted model, not a curated record.